GGGCGGUUAGCUCAGCGGUAGAGCACUACCUUGACAUGGUAGGGGUCACAGGUUCGAUCCCUGUACCGCCCACCA
RNAcentral lists this transfer RNA (75 nucleotides) under Zoogloea sp. RNAcentral describes it as "tRNA-Val". It matches the Rfam family "tRNA". Rfam says of the family: Transfer RNA (tRNA) molecules are approximately 80 nucleotides in length. Their secondary structure includes four short double-helical elements and three loops (D, anti-codon, and T loops). RNAcentral also lists the same sequence under 35 other names. Lineage: Bacteria; Pseudomonadati; Pseudomonadota; Betaproteobacteria; Rhodocyclales; Zoogloeaceae. The record is from RNAcentral.